This 747-nucleotide unclassified non-coding RNA is filed under the name Hevea brasiliensis (rubber tree). The record is from RNAcentral. Lineage: Eukaryota; Viridiplantae; Streptophyta; Magnoliopsida; Malpighiales; Euphorbiaceae.
GAGAUAGCUUAACAGCAAACAGAACUCAAGCUAACAUUAACCUUCCAAGUCCCUUUGCAUCCCUUGAUGAGCUCAAGGCCAAUUUCUCUGCCGUGGGGCUUGAUAAUGUUUCCGAUUUAGUUGCCUUGUCCGGUGCUCACACAUUUGGACAAGCUCAAUGUCGAACUUUCAGGGCUAGAAUAUAUAACUCUCCUGAGCUACCAUUGAACUCAACCUAUAAUAUAACACUUAGCAAAAUUUGCACACAAAAUGGAACUACUGAUGGUAGUGCGAGAACGCAGCUUGAUUCUACAACACCUAAUGUGUUUGAUAAUAAGUAUUUCUCUAAUCUUCAAUUUGCCAGAGGUCUUCUGGAGAGUGACCAAGUUCUGUUUUCAACCCCCGGAGCUGAUACUAUUGAAAUUGUUGACAAUUUUAGUGCUAAUCAGGCUGUAUUUUUUGAAAGCUUUGUGGAGGCUAUGAUCAGAAUGGGAAAUAUCAGCCCUUUAACAGGAACUGAAGGGGAGAUUAGAUUGAAUUGCAGCAGAAAAAAUGAAGAUACAAUUGGAGCAGGCAUUCGUCUUGUUACUUCUAUGUGAUCCUUUAAGAAAUUCUCCUGUAUCCAAAUUAAAUAAACUAAUAUGGUCUCUAGCUAGCUAGACCAUAUUUUCCUUUGUCAACUAUUUUAAAUAGUUGGAUCUUAAAGAGUGCUGUUUGGACAAUCAAUUUUACUUUUUAAUAGCAUUUUAAAAAUAAAAUAAAAAAUUG